This 226-nucleotide ribosomal RNA is filed under the name uncultured bacterium. RNAcentral describes it as "partial 16S ribosomal RNA". It matches the Rfam family "Bacterial small subunit ribosomal RNA", at positions 538 to 763 of the family's 1533-position model. The record is from RNAcentral.
GCGUUAAUCGGAAUAACUGGGCGUAAAGGGCACGCAGGCGGACUUUUAAGUGAGGUGUGAAAGCCCCGGGCUUAACCUGGGAAUUGCAUUUCAGACUGGGAGUCUAGAGUACUUUAGGGAGGGGUAGAAUUCCACGUGUAGCGGUGAAAUGCGUAGAGAUGUGGAGGAAUACCGAAGGCGAAGGCAGCCCCUUGGGAAUGUACUGACGCUCAUGUGCGAAAGCGUG